RNA transcript from Nicotiana attenuata, 2672 nucleotides. It is a transcript of the gene named protein tesmin/TSO1-like CXC 6, with no coding region annotated. The transcript is spliced from 9 exons. The record is from RefSeq and is a predicted model, not a curated record. Lineage: Eukaryota; Viridiplantae; Streptophyta; Magnoliopsida; Solanales; Solanaceae.
AUUGAAUUUCAAAAGCUUUAGAGGGAGCAGCAAUAUUUGCUGCUUCUUCUCUUCUUCGAAAAAAUCCCUUCUUUUCUCCUUCCGCCUGUGUACAUACAUAAAACACGCACACACACAGUGUAUGUGUAUUUGUCGAUCGAACUUAUUGUUGAAUUAGGUGAAUAAUUUGAGUGGAUUUGUAGCCAACAUUCGCUGGAUUUUUGUAAUUUGAAUCUGAUUUUCGAAUUACACAGCUUAACCUGUCGAAAAUUUGAAUUUUAAACAGUUUUUUCGUUAUAUUUGUUGAAAUUUGUGGAAUUAUCGUGGUAUUUGCAGUGGAUAAUCAGUGAAUUUGUGAGAUUUUGUAAUUUUUGGGUGUUUGGUGAGUUUUUAUUGUGUGUUUGAAUGGAGAAUAGUGAGGGAGGGGAUUUUUUCCCUCCUAACAAGGCUCAAUCGGAGGUGGCUGUUUCUGCUGCUGCAGCUACGACGGUGCAGCCGCAGGUGGCAGUGGAUUUCCCGGCGAAGAAGCUGGCUAGGCAGCUGGAUUUCACGGUGUUCGGUGGCAGUAGCGGUCAAUCUCCGGCCACCGCUAUGCCGGAGCAAACAAAGCAGAUUCAACCGCUUGUGAAAUCGAUACAACUGCAAAGGCCACAGACGCAGCAACAUAUGGUGUUAAUGCCGACGAAACAAACUGCGGUGCCGACUACUCAUCCUUCAAUACGACCUCCUCUGAAACCAGAUUCUCCAAGAGCACGGCCAAGGCAAAGUGUUAGUGAGGUAAAAGAUGGUACUCCUAAAAAGCAGAAGCAGUGUAACUGCAAACACUCUCGAUGUCUAAAGUUGUAUUGUGAAUGCUUUGCAUCUGGCAUAUACUGUGAUGGGUGCAAUUGUAACAAUUGUCAUAAUAAUGUCGAAAAUGAGCCUGCUAGACGUGAAGCAGUUGAAGCUACUUUAGAGCGUAAUCCACAUGCAUUCAGGCCUAAAAUCGCCAGCAGUCCACAUGGAGCUCGAGAUAAUAAGGAGGAAAUUGGGGAUGUCUUAGUCUUGGCAAAGCAUAACAAAGGAUGCCACUGCAAGAAAUCAGGUUGCCUCAAGAAGUACUGUGAGUGCUUCCAAGCCAACAUUCUUUGCUCUGAAAAUUGUAAAUGCAUGGACUGCAAAAAUUUUGAAGGAAGUGAGGAGAGGCAGGCUCUUUUCCAUGGAGAUCAUGCAAACAACAUGGCAUAUCUCCAGCAGGCGGCAAAUGCUGCUAUCACAGGUGCCAUUGGAUCCUCCGGUUAUGGAUUAUCUCCUGUGAACAAGAAAAGAAAGGGCCAGGAGCUGUUCUUCGGGUCAUCAGUUAAGGAACCUGUUCACAGGCAUGGACAAUCCCAACAGGGGAACCAUAUCAAGGCUUCUGUCCUACCUUCAUUAUCUUCAGUUCCUGGUCCUUGUGUUGGAAAUGCUGCAACAGUGGGUCCUUCCAAGUUUACCUACAGGUCUCUGUUGGCAGACCUCAUCCAACCACAGGAUUUGAAGGAACUUUGCUCAGUUUUAGUUUUACAUUCAGGAGAAACAGCCAAGAUGCUGGCAGAUGAAAAGGAUGCUUCAAUGAAACAGGCUGAGGGGCAGAGAGAAGCUUCCUUAGCUUCAUCAACUCAGGAGCGAGUACAAAACCAGAAAGAUUCUAGUACUGAGAAGGAUAUGCUUGACUGUUGUUCAAGUGGGGACCAAGGUGAGAAAAUCAGUGUGGAAGAGUCUAGUUUGGAUGGUGCUGAUGUAUCAAAAAGGCCAAUGUCGCCAGGGACGUUAGCACUAAUGUGUGAUGAAUCACACACCAUGUUUGCAGCUGCUGUUGCUUCCCCUAAUGACCUAGCGACUCUUAGCUGUAAUACAUCUUCUCAAUUGCCCCACGGGCAGGGCAUGACCGAGACGUAUGCAGAACAGGAAAGAAUCGUGUUGAUGAAAUUUCGUGAUUGUCUUAAUAGGCUUGUCGAUUUAGGACAACUAAAAGAACGAAAAUGUUCAUCAAUGAUCCGAGGUGCUGACCCUGUCGAUCAAAAAGAUAUGAUUGGUAAUGGUUUUACUACGAGUGAAACAAGGAAUCAGCAUGAUUCCUUGAACAAUGGUGUUGCCAAGUCUGCUCUUCCUCUGCCAAGAACAGCUCAGUUGUUUAGUGCAGUAGUAACUACUGCUAAUAAUAAUAAUCCAUUUCCUAAAGUUCAUCGUCCAGAUGAGAAUGGGGAUGUCAAACCAAAAAUCUGAAAAUAAACCGUAGUGAGUUUUAGAAUGAGAUUUGCCUGUAACUGCUGCUUCUAUUGUAAUAUUAGGCUUUUAUUCAUUGUCUUUCUUUGAUGUAGCAGUGAAGUUCAUUCAGGCCCCAUUUGUUAGAGCUAGCAAUCCAUACUCGCUCUUCUCAUCUAGAAGAACAGUUCAGGGGCUUCUUUGAUCGGGAAAUGCACACUUCUUUUGUUGUUAUUAAGGUUCCUUCCUCCUGAGUUCAAGAUGUCCCUGCCGUUUCUCAGCUUAUGGGAUUAAGGCGUGCCACUUUAUGAGGAAUUAUUGAUGCAAACGUGACAUCCUGUAUUUGCUUGAAUAUGUUAGGCUUGUUUUCGAGGUUCUCACGAAAACAGUCUCUCUGUCCUCCCUAGGUAAGGAUAAGGUCCGCAUACAUGCUAUCCUCCCCAAACUCCACAUGGUUUGUUGUUAUUGUU